AUUGAACGCUGGCGGCAUGCCUUACACAUGCAAGUCGAACGGCAGCACGGGAGCAAUCCUGGUGGCGAGUGGCGAACGGGUGAGUAAUAUAUCGGAACGUGCCCAGUCGUGGGGAUAACGUAGAGAAUUUACGCUAAUACCGCAUACGAUCUAAGGAUGAAAGCGGGGGACCGUAAGGCCUCGCGCGAUUGGAGCGGCUGAUAUCAGAUUAGGUAGUUGGUGAGGUAAAGGGCUCACCAAGCCGACGAUCUGUAGCUGGUCUGAGAGGACGACCAGCCACACUGGGACUGAGACACGGCCCAGACUCCUACGGAGGCAGCAGUGGGAAUUUGGACAAUGGCGCAAGCCUGAUCCAGCAA
Molecule: ribosomal RNA, 359 nt
Filed under: uncultured bacterium
Lineage: Bacteria
Description: bacterial SSU rRNA
Rfam family: Bacterial small subunit ribosomal RNA
Source: RNAcentral